AACGAACGCUGGCGGCAGGCCUAACACAUGCAAGUCGAGCGCGCCCCUCGGGGUGAGCGGCGGACGGGUGAGUAACGCGUGGGAACGUGCCCUUUUCUACGGAAUAGCCUCGGGAAACUGAGAGUAAUACCGUAUACGCCCUUUGGGGGAAAGAUUUAUCGGAAAAGGAUCGGCCCGCGUUGGAUUAGGUAGUUGGUGGGGUAAUGGCCUACCAAGCCGACGAUCCAUAGCUGGUUUGAGAGGAUGAUCAGCCACACUGGGACUGAGACACGGCCCAGACUCCUACGGGAGGCAGCAGUGGGGAAUCUUAGACAAUGGGGGCAACCCUGAUCGAGCCAUGCCGCGUGAGUGAUGAAGGCCUUAGGGUUGUAAAGCUCUUCCAGCUGGGAAGAUAAUGACGGUACCAGCAGAAGAAGCCCCGGCUAACUCCGUG
Molecule: ribosomal RNA, 433 nt
Filed under: uncultured bacterium
Lineage: Bacteria
Description: partial 16S ribosomal RNA
Rfam family: Bacterial small subunit ribosomal RNA
Source: RNAcentral